This is a long non-coding RNA of Podarcis raffonei (Aeolian wall lizard), 3049 nucleotides long. RefSeq lists it as uncharacterized. The record is from RefSeq and is a predicted model, not a curated record. NCBI's taxonomy places the organism in Eukaryota, Metazoa, Chordata, Lepidosauria, Squamata, Lacertidae. The transcript is spliced from 2 exons.
UUGUUGGCUUUUAGGUCCCUAGUGGCGGGACGGAGGGGGGGAGUCCGCAAGAAACUUCAGCAGCCCAGUCUUGUUCAUCUUUACUUGCAAGUAAACCCUGUUCAACCAGUAGAGCUUACUCUUGGGUAAGCAGGCAGUUACUAACUUUUGUCUUCUCUCUUCCCCACCGCUCCUCUGGAGAUGCAACAUUUCCAGAAAAUGGGAAUAAAACCCAUUUCCCCUUCUCCUGACAUACGUAGUUUUUUCGUGCACACAAAACAGAAAAAUUGAGAAAUUGUGUGUGUGUGUGUGUUAUAUAUUUAUAUAUAAAUAUAACCCAGCCAGAUGGGCGGGGUAUUUUAUAUAUAUAUAAAAGGCCUGGGGAAAGAGGGAUGUUUUUGCCUGGCACCUAAAAAUAUGUAACACAGGUGCCAGGUGAGUCUCCCUGGGGAGAGCAUUCCACAAACAUAUAUGCAAUACUUAUCAACCCCAAACGUAUGUUACUGCUUUAGCAAAAUAAAGUGUAUUGUUUCAAAGCUAGGGUAGAAUAAAAUUAUCCCCUUAAAUUUUAGACUAUAAAUGUACCAAGUAAGAUUACAAUAUUACCCACACAGUCAACUUCCUUCUGUGGGUCUUGGUUAAAGCUCACACCCCUAUUUGCAGUUUCUGCCCCACUGCCUUUUGACCUUUUUUAUCCCCAGCGAAACAAAGCAAGAAGCUGCUUGUUUGUUUCCCAUUCUGCAGCAGUGUGUCUGUGUCCUUCAAGGGGCAAGGUGAAAAGGUUGACCACAAAGGAGGGAACAGGUCAGAAGGGCAGCAGAAACAGGAUGAUUGCUACUAGUAUCUACAGACUAAACCAAAGGUGACUAGGAGACGGCAGGCAGCAAUUCACAAACGACAGAGGCCCUGCAUGUUCCUCUAACGAAGAUUACUGCACCCAUAAUACAAAAAUUCGUUUUGAAUUGAAGUGUUGUAUUUGCCAGUGCACUAAUGCUGUACAUCUUAAAAUAAAACUUACUUAACAGAGGUUUUUUCCAGUGUCCUUCAAAAGAUGGAAACAUUUGCAAAAAGUCCUCUGGAAAAAAACACCUUUUUAAAAAUUCCCUGGGUGAGGUGUAAUAGGACCUUCACACCUCUCCCCUCAGCCCAUUUCUUCUGGCAGGAGGGAAAGAGUUGACCUCUUAAAUAUUAGGCUGUACGUAAUACAACUUUUUAAAGUGCAUUAGCCCUGGAGAGGCAUAGCAGUCCAAAUUAUGGAAAGAGGUUCAGUUUGUGUUGUUGUAACAGUGCCUGGAAACAAGUAUGCAAAUAGCAGCUGUUUCAGAAGGGGAAAACAACUUUUUGAAGCUUCAUUAUUGGUAUGUUAGGAAUAACAGCUGUGAGCUUCUCUUUAAAGCCACAUACACACAGGAUGGGUCUUGUUUACACAUUCUGGGAGAGUGUAUUUACUAAAUGACCAUUUAUAAUGCAUGUGUGCGAUGUUCUUCACACCUGAGCACCUCUGCAUGAUGGAAGAGAAAGAGUUGCUAUGCCAUAUUUCAAACAAAUGUGUGAAGCGUUCCUAAUUCUGCCAUUCAAGGAGAUGUGAUUAAGAUCUAAUCAUAGACACCCUGCAGCUCAAAAGCUUGUGUAGUGGUUUCAAGAGCCUACAUUAGUGUUGUGUAUGCAGCAUCUCAUCAAAUUAUGGAAGCUGUGCAGAGACUUGUUCAGCUGUGCUGCAGGCCUGCAGUCUUGUGCAGCCAAACAACUUUAGUCUGUUUUGCUCAACCAAUCCUACUUCGGAUUCUUUCUUGGAUUACUGCAUCAAUUAAGAACUCUGGAACAGAGACAGGAUUCCUUGCUUCUGUCAUGUCUGCACCUCAGUGAGGUUCCACCAACAGAACUCUCCUUCCCUCAAAAGUUGGUAAUGGUGAUACUGAAUCUGACAUAACCCCCUAAGGUUUAACAUGUCUUUGCUGUCCUUGCUAUGGCUUUGCAUCCGUGGCCGCCUUGGAUUUCAUAUCCCGCUUUAUCACUACCCGAAGGAGUCUCAAAGCAGCCAACAAUCUCCUUUCCCUUCCUCCCCCACAACAAACACUCUAUGAGGAUUAUAGUAUUGGCUCCAGGGCUUUUAAUAGCUUAGAAGCUAUAGUAUUUACUGCUGCACUACUUUGGCAGGAAAUGCUCCACCUGCUGAAAUUUUCUCUUCUAUACAUUUAUUAAUAAGAACCUGAGGACAGCACCCUCUGCCAUUAGCUAAGGACAAGGGCACUGGGAGGCCACUCCCUCUGCCUUCUAGCGACAUCAUCACAGCAAGAUGGAGACCAACCUAGCCCUAUCAGUGGGCCAAAGGAGGACUUGUCAUAAAGAACACUCCCAACUGCUGGUUGCCCUGCAGAAGCAAGAAGAAGGGCCUCUCUGGUCCCAUCCAUCAGCCAAAGGAGCAAGAGGCAUCAGUUGCCAGUCACAGGGUUUUUUUAAAAGCUGAUUUUCCAACUGCACAAAUUCCCCAUCAGUCACUCCCUUCACUAUAUUUUCCUACCUUUCUCUGGAGGCCUAGAAUCAUAAAACUGUAGAGUUGGAAAGGACCCCGAGGGUUGAAUCUCAACUAAAGCAAUGGCAGAUGGCCGUCCAACCUCUGCUUUAAAACCUGCAGUGAAGGACAGUCUGCCUCAUAAUUCAACAACUGUGAAAUCAGGAUAGUCUCUUGGAUUUCUUGUUCUUAAAAAUGUUGAUAUUGAAGAAAACAUUGAAUGUUUGUCUAUUUUGCCUCAGGUUCUUUAAGAUAUUUGGGGACAUAGGAAGCUGCCUUAUGCAGAGGCAGCUCAUUGGUCCAUCUACCUCUGGAUUGUCUACAGUGACUGGAAGCAACUUCCCAGCAUAUCAGGCAGGAGUCAUUCCCCAGCCCUACCUAGAGAAUCCUGGGAUUGAACUUGGGAUCUUCUGCAUGCAAAGCAGAUCCUCUAACAAUAAGCUGCAGCCCCUUUUGAUUUCUCGAUUUUAAGAAAAUUUUAAAAAGUGCAUUUUUGUGUGUCAACAAACUUAAUAACAAAUUAAACAGCAUAAAAAGUUAAGAAAAUGUUGGUCUACA